GAUGAACGCUGGCGGCGUGCCUAAUACAUGCAAGUCGAGCGAACGGACGAGAAGCUUGCUUUUCUGAUGUUAGCGGCGGACGGGUGAGUAACACGUGGAUAACCUACCUAUAAGACUGGGAUAACUUCGGGAAACCGGAGCUAAUACCGGAUAAUAUCUUGAACCGCAUGGUUCAAAAGUGAAAGACGGUCUUGCUGUCACUUAUAGAUGGAUCCGCGCUGCAUUAGCUAGUUGGUAAGGUAACGGCUUACCAAGGCAACGAUGCAUAGCCGACCUGAGAGGGUGAUCGGCCACACUGGAACGGAGACACGGUCCAGACUCCUACGGGAGGCAGCAGUAGGGAAUCGUCCGCAAUGGGCGAAAGCCUGACGGAGCAACGCCGCGUGUGUGAUGAAGGUCUUCGGAUCGUAAAGCUCUGUUAUUAGGGAAGAACAGAUGUGUAAGUAACUGUGCACAUCUUGACGGUACCUAAUCAGAAAGCCCCGGCUAACUACGUG
This 497-nucleotide ribosomal RNA is filed under the name uncultured bacterium. Its description in RNAcentral is "partial 16S ribosomal RNA". It matches the Rfam family "Bacterial small subunit ribosomal RNA", at positions 28 to 507 of the family's 1533-position model. The record is from RNAcentral.